CAGUCGCCGCGGGAAUACGUAGGUGGCAAGCGUUGAUCGGAAUCACUGGGCGUAGAGCGCGCGUAGGCGGACAUUUAAGUCAGGGGUGAAAUCCCGGGGCUCAACCCCGGAACUGCCUCUGAUACUGGGUGUCUAGAGUUCGGAAGAGGUAAGUGGAAUUGCGAGUGUAGAGGUGAAAUUCGUAGAUACUCGCAGGAACCCCGCUGGCGAAGGCGACUUACUGGUCCGAUACUGACGCUGAGGUGCGAAAGCGUGGGGAGCAAACAGGAUUAGAUACCCCCGUAGUCCCUGUCUCUUAUAC
RNAcentral lists this ribosomal RNA (301 nucleotides) under uncultured bacterium. Its description in RNAcentral is "partial 16S ribosomal RNA". It matches the Rfam family "Bacterial small subunit ribosomal RNA", at positions 509 to 807 of the family's 1533-position model. The record is from RNAcentral.